RNAcentral lists this ribosomal RNA (267 nucleotides) under uncultured Gammaproteobacteria bacterium. Its description in RNAcentral is "partial 16S small subunit ribosomal RNA". It matches the Rfam family "Bacterial small subunit ribosomal RNA", at positions 1106 to 1373 of the family's 1533-position model. Lineage: Bacteria; Pseudomonadati; Pseudomonadota; Gammaproteobacteria. The record is from RNAcentral.
AUCCCUUAUUUGCCAGCGGGUUAUGCCGGGAACUCUAGGACACUGCCGGUGAUAAACCGGAGGAAGGUGGGGACGACGUCAAGUCAUCAUGGCCCUUACGGGAUGGGCUACACACGUGCUACAAUGGCAAAUACAAAGGGCUGCUAACCAGCGAUGGUAUGCGAAUCUCCUAAAGUUUGUCGUAGUCCGGAUCGGAGUCUGCAACUCGACUCCGUGAAGUUGGAAUCGCUAGUAAUCGUGGAUCAGAAUGCCACGGUGAAUACGUUC